This is a long non-coding RNA of Homo sapiens (human), 4334 nucleotides long. RefSeq lists it as uncharacterized. Lineage: Eukaryota; Metazoa; Chordata; Mammalia; Primates; Hominidae. The transcript is spliced from 2 exons. The record is from RefSeq and is a predicted model, not a curated record.
GGGGACUGAAGCAGGAGAAUCACUUGAACCCGGGAGGCAGAGGUUGCAGUGAGCUGAGAUCAUGCCACUGCACUCCAGCUUGGGCAACAGAGUGAGAUUCCAUCUUAAAAUAAAAUUAAAUUAAAUUAAAAAGUCAUUUCAAGGAUUUCUGGAAAAAAUUGUAAAGCCAUUUCCAGAAAAUUACCAGAAUUGGUAAAAUUUUGUCCCAUUCCUUACCUGCUGGGCUGGCAUCGUGGGUGUGACUUGUGCAGGAGCACAGGACUCCACACUCAGAAGAGCUGCAUGCUUGGCUGAAUACUCUGCUAAUGCUGUCUCACAGUUAUUAAUUUUUGAACAAGAAGCUCUGCAUUUUUAUUCUGCACUGGCCCCAACAAAUUAUGCAGCCAGUGCUGCCUACACAUGCUAUAUUUAGGAUCCCAGAUGGUGAGAAUUAAUGCUCAGACUGGUGACCCUGAAUCUGUAGGUUUCUGAGUGAUCCAGGAUUCAAUUAUAAUUAUCAUUUUUUUCAUUCAUUCAACAUGUUUAUUGAGUGCUGUUCUAGGUAUCGGGGAUAAAACAUUGAAUCAACCAGCCCUGUCUUCACAGAAUUUACAUCGUGCCACACUUCCUGUGUCUGCCCAACCAACAAAUGACAUUCAUGUAUCAGCUAUUAAUAGGACAUCAGCUACAGACACACAUACCAGCGUGUGUCACAAAUAGUCUAUGUCGGGGAUCACAUGCAAAUCCCAGCAGCCAACAGGAACUCCAGGCAUCCCAAUCUCUUUCUCUCAAGAAAGCAAAUCAGAAUGCAACCUCUAAAGUGGCAAAAAGAUGCAUUUAAGAAAGGUUUUCAACCGUGAAGACUGAAAUCAAAGAGCAAACUGAGUCUCUGGUUAACAUUUCUCAGGGCCUCUGCAAAUACUGUGAGAAAUGCCACUUUGUGACAGCUUCAGCCAAGCACCAGGCUCAUCCUUCAAGAGAUCCACUUAACACUGUGUUGCUCAGAGGAGUGGAAAGAUGUCAAAUUGCUCAUCUGCUUGAAAAACCCAAAUAGGUGGAUUUCAUACAGCAGGGAUCCUGCCCUGGGAAGGCAACAGUCCUUUUUCUCAUUUGAUUGCUUUAUAGAAAUCUGUGCCCUUACCCCCCUUAGCCCCAACUCAAACCAGAUUCUUUGCUUCCAGCAAGCCCAGCUGAAGUAAACAUGUUAACAACACACAUUUGCCUCCCUGAGACAGAUAAUAUCAUAGUUCAGCUCCAUAAAAGCCUGUUGCUGUAGGCUUCUAAGGCCCUAGUUCUCAAACUUAGCCUGCAUCCAAAUCACCUGGAGUGCUUGUUAAAAUGCAGAUCACAGGACCCUACCUUGGAGUUUCUAACUCAGUAGGUCUUGGGUGGGUCCCGAAAAUUUGCUUUUCUAGUAAAUCCCAGGUGGUGGCUCCUGAUGGUCUUUGAGAACUACUGCUCUAGGGCAUUGCCUUGGAUCCUGAAGGGCUGCAUGAGCAAUUCUGUCCUCAAUGCAGAGAAUGUCCCCAAACAAACCUUAAUUCUCUUUGGCUUCUGACCACCCUAUCUCAUUUUCCUCAAUUCUCAUUCAUUCCUCAACUCCCUUUAGCUGGCCUCCUGCCCUGCACUCUAUUGAAAAUGCUCUCAGUGAAGUUGAAGGUGACAAAUUUGCUGCCAAAUUUAAUGGGCAGGGGACAUCAUCAUUUGGGUAUCUGAUAUGAUUUGGGUCUGUGUCCCUGUCCAAAUCUCAUAUCGAAUUCUAAUACUCAACAUUGGAAGGGGGGCCUGAUGGGAGGUGAUUGAAUCAUGAGGGCAGAUUUCCCCCUUGCUGUUCCCAUGAGUAAGUUCUCACAAGGUCUGGUUGUUUAUAAAAGUGUGUAGCAGUCGGGCGCAGUGACUCAUGCCUGUAAUGCCAGCAUUUUGGGAGGCCGAGGCAGGUGGAUCACCUGAGGUCAGGAGUUCGAGACCAGCCAGGCCAACAUGGUGAAACGCCGUCUCUACUAAAAAUACAAAAAUUAGCUGGGUGUGUGCCUGUAUUCCCAGCUACUUGGGAAGCUGAAGCAGGAGAAUUGCUUGAACCAGGGUGUCGGAGCUUGCAGUGAGCCGAGAUCGCGCCACUGCACUCCAGCCUGGCGAUAGACUGAGACUCUGUCUCAAAAAAACAAACAAACAAACAAACAAAAACAAAAAAAAAGUGUGUAGCACCUCCCCUUUCUCUAUCUCCUCCUCCUUCUCUGGCCAUGAAAGACAUGCCUGCUUCUCCUUCACCUUCCACCAUGAUUGUAAGCUUCCUGAGGCCUCCCCAGCCAUGCUUCCUGUACAUCCUGGGGACCAUGAGUCAAUUAAACCUCUUUUUCUUUAUAAAGUACCCAGUCUCGGCUGGGUGCGGUGGCUCAUGCCUGUCAUCUCAGCACUUUGGGAGGCCGAGGUGGGUGGAUCACCUGAGGUCAGGAGUUCAAGACCAGCCUGGUCAACAUGGUGAGACCCUGUCUCUACUAAAAAUACAAAAAUUAGCUGGGCAUGGUGGCGCACGCCUGUAGUCCCAGCUGCUCUGGAGGCUGAGACACAAGAAUUGCUUGAACCCGAGUGGUGGAGGCUGCAGUGAGCCAAGAUUGUGCCACUGCACUCCAGCCUCAGUGAUAGAGUGAGACUCUGUCUCUAAAUAAAUAAAUAACCCAGUCUCAGGUUGUUCUUUAUGGCAGUGCGAGAACAGACUAAUACAGUAUCUCACCAGCCAGUUUAGCCACCAGUCUACAUUGAACUCACUGUUUUCUCAAGCACUCUUCAUCAUGUUUUUGGGCCUGACAAGCUUCAUGUGUUCCCAGCAGUAUUUCUGUUAUUUGCAGCAACUGCCACUCCCUACUAAGUGUAGUUCAGAUGGGAUUUUCAAUCAUAGCACCCUAUGGCACUGGCCACAGGGAUGGGCCUGUAUCCCAGUACUGAUCAUCUACUCCCCUAUCUCUUGGGUCACCAUGAUUGGCCCAGUGGCAAUCAAUGACACACACCAAACCAGUCAGAGCCCUUCUCUAAAAUUUUAUACGGAUUUCAUUACAUCUAAGACUCCAUUACAGUAAGAAACACUGUUAUUUUAUCCAUCACUAAGAAAUAAUACUGCCAAUUGGAACAACAAAAAAGGAAGAUGACAUCUAUUAAAAGACGCUUCCGAUUUCAGAAAGGUUAAAAUUGGGUGGGGCUAAACCUUGCACAGUGAAAUUCAAACUAAGAUGCUGGGAGAAAAAAGCUCUCUCUCUGGAGUCCCUGAGCUAGGAAGACGUAAAUGUCAAGUUGCAACAAUACCACCUUCUCUCCAUUGCCUGGAGGAAGCAAGUCUGCAAUAGGAAAGAAUGAGGCCAACACACCAAGAGAAGUGAAAAUUUUAAAAAGAGAGAAAUGAAGCGGGUAGAGUAGCUCUGUUUCUUCACAUCAGUCCUAUAUCCUUAAAUUAUUUGAAUUCAGUUUCUGUCACUUGCAAUCAUGGAAGUCCUGAUAAAUAUAAUCCCUUUCCCCAUAAGCAUCCCCAAUAUUCCCCAAAGUAAAUGACUCAUUACCCAUCAAAUUAUCCAAAUCAUACUUAACUCCUUCCUCCUCCUCAACCCUUCUACACUGAACUAAUGAGGAAAUGUGUUUUCUUCAACUUCCUAAAUAUCUAAUCCUUCCAUUUCUCUCUAUCUGCACUCAAUCUCUCACCCCAUCCACCAUCCCCCUUUGCAGACCCCUGGGACGGCCUCCUAACUGAGUCUCCUGGUUCUAGUCUUCUCCUAUCUAACUCUGGGUCCACGCUGCAGUCAGAGUGAUCUUUCCAAUAAGAACAUCCCUGCCCAAAACACUUUGGGGUCUUCUCAUUGUCCUUUCACAGUAUGGCCCAGCCUAUCUCCCCAGCUUUCUCCAGUUUUUCGAAUAUUUUUCUGCUUUAGACUUUUUUUUUUUGAGACUGGGUCUCACUCUGUCACCCAGGAUGGAGUGCAGUGGUGCAAUCACAGCUCAGUGCACUCCCCACCUCCCGGUCUUAAACAAUCCUCCCACUUCAGCCUCCUGAGUGGCUGGAACAACAGGUGCGCCACCACACCCAGCUACUUUUUUUUAUUUUUCCUAGAGACAGGUUUCACCAUGUUGCUCAGGCUUUCUUUAGACUUUUACUUUUCCCUGACUGGAACGUUCCUCCUCGUUCACCUGUGAUUUAUUCAUUUUUGAUCCCAGCUUAAACAUCACAUCAUCUAAGCCCAGGUGGACUCCUCUAGUUUCACUGACCUCUUUCACAGUUUCUAUGGCAUCUUCCUCAUUAUACUUUCAAAAAUCAGCUGUUUACUGUAGCUUUUUAUAUUUGAAGACAUAAUAAACUCUUGUUUACACCCAAA